Molecule: ribosomal RNA, 253 nt
Filed under: uncultured bacterium
Lineage: Bacteria
Description: partial 16S ribosomal RNA
Rfam family: Bacterial small subunit ribosomal RNA
Source: RNAcentral
UACGGAGGGGGUUAUCGUUGUUCGGAAUUACUGGGCGUAAAGCGCGCGUAGGCGGGCUGUUAAGUCGGGGGUGAAAUCCCGGGGCUCAACCCCGGAACUGCCUUCGAUACUGGCAGCCUUGAGGUCGAGAGAGGUGAGUGGAACUCCGAGUGUAGAGGUGAAAUUCGUAGAUAUUCGGAAGAACACCAGUGGCGAAGGCGGCUCACUGGCUCGAUACUGACGCUGAGGUGCGAAAGUGUGGGGAGAAAACAGG